GCUGCAUCCAUAGAAGUCAGCUGUUGUAUCGAGCGCAGAGUAUGUCGUUUACGUUGUAAGUACAAGUUAUUUUAUUUGAAGUAAUUGAUUUGAAUUGUGUUGCAAUCACAAACGCUAACAAAUGACACAUUUGAACUUUUUAAGAAUGUGUAAAUCAAUUUUACAUUUGAGCAAUCCAUGCAUUUUUAGCUGUCAUUCAUAUUGCCUGUUUAAAUCUCCGGUUUAGGUUGAGCGGAAUUAAACACCAGCCGUGUUUGACCAAGUGACCAGCAUCUGUGUCAGUUGGCUGGGCAUUUGUGAUCUUACACAACCUGAGCAGAUACCUUUUGUAUUGAGGACACCCCGGUGAUGAUACGGA
Esox lucius (northern pike) is the source of this 358-nucleotide long non-coding RNA. The record is from Ensembl. NCBI's taxonomy places the organism in Eukaryota, Metazoa, Chordata, Actinopteri, Esociformes, Esocidae.